GGAGCUAGCUCCCAAACGAUUAGCGGCGGACGGGUGAGUAACACGUGGGUAACCUGCCUGUAAGAUUGGGAUAACUCCGGGAAACCGGAGCUAAUACCGGAUAACAUUUCGAACCGCAUGGUUCGAAUUUGAAAGACGGCUUUUGCUGUCACUUACAGAUGGACCCGCGGCGCAUUAGCUAGUUGGUGAGGUAACGGCUCACCAAGGCAACGAUGCGUAGCCGACCUGAGAGGGUGAUCGGCCACACUGGGACUGAGACACGGCCCAGACUCCUACGGGAGGCAGCAGUAGGGAAUCUUCCGCAAUGGACGAAAGUCUGACGGAGCAACGCCGCGUGAACGAUGAAGGCCUUCGGGUCGUAAAGUUCUGUUGUUAGGGAAGAACAAGUACCAGAGUAACUGCUGGUACCUUGACGGUACCUAACCAGAAAGCCACGGCUAACUACGUGCCAGCAGCCGCGGUAAUACGUAGGUGGCAAGCGUUGUCCGGAAUUAUUGGGCGUAAAGCGCGCGCAGGUGGUUCCUUAAGUCUGAUGUGAAAGCCCACGGCU
Molecule: ribosomal RNA, 550 nt
Filed under: Bacillus sp. PASCW12
Lineage: Bacteria; Bacillati; Bacillota; Bacilli; Caryophanales; Bacillaceae
Description: bacterial SSU rRNA
Rfam family: Bacterial small subunit ribosomal RNA
Source: RNAcentral